CGUAGAAUGGGCAACCCUGGUCUUUCCGUACCAUAUCAUAUCAUAUCAUAUCGAGGACUAAUGGAUCAUCCAAUGACCAUCCACAUCAACAUCAUAUUAUGCAAUGCAUCAUAUUCGUGAAUUCUAAUGCAACAACCUAUAAACAUGGCAAUCGUGAUGCAUGAACAUGUUUAGGAGUUUAAUUACUUUUAAAAUAGAAAGUAGUUCUGUUCUACUCACCUCUGGCAGAUACUGGACUGACUCUGAAGCAGCUAUCUCACUGCUAAACUUCUCGGUUCCUCGGGUCCGAUCCUACACAGGUGGACUCAAAUGAGGGACCAAACAUACUCUAACAUGACUUUAAACAUCUCCCCAAAAACCCCCUAAAACAUCAUAAAAUAUUCAUAGAAAACAUGCAAAGGAAGGCUGGACAGGGCACUUUCGGCGGCAGGUUCGGCGGCCAAAAGUCCCUCCAGAGCCGAAAGUCAGGCACUUUCGGGGGCAGGGUUCGGCCGCCGAAGGUUCUUCCAGAGCCAAAAGUCACCAACCUUCGGGGGCAAGUUCGGCGUCUGAAACCUCCCUCCAGAGCCGAAAGUCCAACUUUCGGGGGCGAGAUAUGGCGGCCAAAACUGCCUCCACAAGCAGGUUCGGCUGCCGAAACUGGCUUCGGCGGCCAAACCUAGGCUUCCCCAAGGGCAGAACCCAAUUCUGCCUUGCAAAUCCAGCCACCCUCAACAACCCAACAUGCAUCAAACCAUACUAAAACAUGCAUAAACACAUUUCCAAGCAUAUAGGGGCAUAAAACUAACCUAUACCCCAACAACAUCACAUUAAGCAUACAUUUAACAAUAACCACACAUAAACCCUAAUAUUUUACAAUUAGCCUAAACAUGCAUUAAAACCCCUUUACCCUUCAUAAAACUUACUUAAAAAUAUCAGAGAAGAUAGGAUCUACACUUACCUCUUGAAGAUCGAGAGGAGAGGUGAUCCAAACUUGGAGAUUGGGAGAAAUCGAGCUCCGGGGGUGUCCAAGCCUCAAAACUUUAAUCUUAGCUCAAAAAUCUUCAAAACAACGUAAAACUCAUAAAAAACUUGAAGAGAUUGAAGGAAAACACAAAACCAACCAAAGGAGGGUGAAAUCUCACCUAUGCCCGAAAAUAGAGAGAGAAAACUCACCCAUUUUCGGACAUGGGGCCUUUUAUAGGUGGCUGGCCAGACCACCUUCGAGGGCCAAAGGUGCCUCCGCAAGAGGCCAAUGUUCGGCGGCCGAACAUGAGGUUUGACAGCCGAACCUGGCUUUUUCCUUCCUUGGUCUUUUCUUUCAAAACUCAAUUUCUUUCUUUAUUAAAACUAUAAAAACACAUAAAAACAUUUUAGAAAACCAUGUAUUACCCUUCUAGAGGGUUCCGGCAUCCGGGAUUCCACCGAAAAGUGGGAAUUCCGAUGCUGGAGUCUAGCCGGGUAUUACAUUCUUCCCCCCUUAAGAACAUUCGUCCCCGAAUGUUCAACAAACAGACAUCGCAUGGCAUAAACACACAUAACAACAAGGAAGCACAUAAACAAACACACUAACCUUAGAAGAGAUAGGGGUAUUGCUGGAAGAUAGACUCCCAUGUCUCCAAGGUACAUUCUUCUAUGUUGUGGUGAUUUGAUAGAGCAUAUUUUAGUCCACUUUCUCAUUAUGUUCUUGAUCUUUAUUUGCACCUUUUCUACCUAAUUUUGUGGUUUUAAUCAUGUUUUGUAGAAAUUAGGUGUAAAGAGACAAUCUGGAGAAAAUGCUCUUAAAACUGCCAAAAAGUGCCAAAUAUGGAAAGUGCCAAAAAGAAAAGUUUUCAAAUAUGGAAAGUGCUAAAUAAGGAAAGUUUUCUGAUAAGGAAAGUGCCAGAAAAGGAAAGCGCAAUCAACAGAUUCUUUGAAAUUCAAAUUGCAGAUUCUUCUUUCCUUAUUCAGAAGGUGAAGCCAAUUAUGAAAAGUGUCAAAUCAGGAAAGUUUUCAGAAAAGGAAAGUCCUCAAAUAAGGGAAGUGCAGAAGCAAAAGCAAAUAAGGAAAGCUUAGUCAGAAGAUUAUUUGAAAUUCAAAUUACAGAUCUUUCUUUCCUCAUUCAAAGAUAUGCACACACUGCAGCAGUCAAAUCUUCCUAUUUAGGCAGCAAGAUCUCAUGAAGACGCACUUGCCUCUUUUGCAUUCAACAUUCAAAAUUCAAAUGAAGGCUCCACCUAAAAAGGAAAGACUGGACAUAUUCACUUUCCCUUCUGUAUUCAAUGACUGCGCUCCACUUCCUCUUCUGCAAUCCGUGCGCAUCCUUCCUCUUUUGAAGCUUGAUCCGCGCGCCUCCUUUCUUCUAGAGAAUUUGCAAUGCGAUUCUUUCCUUUUCAGCACUUUGGGCAGCCUCUUCACUAAUUAGGAAGCAAGUAUGACCUAGAGCAGCACUUUCAACUAUAAAAAGACACAUAAGGAGCCUCCACACAAUCUUUAAGCCCCCUUUGGGAGGCACCUACGAGAUUCACAUCUCUUCUUCUACAUUUCUUCUUUUCUUUUAUUUUUGGUUUUUGUGUCAGCCAUGAGAGGCUGAAAUCUUUUGUUCUAGUUGAAGAUUAGGUGAUGCUUUAGUUGUUUUAUGGAUUGGGAGACUUGAUCAAACAUGGUUUAUCUUUUGGUUAUUCAAUAUUCAUGCAAUCUCAUGCUUAAUUCCAUUGUUGCUUUGUUGUUUUGAUCAAUAUGGCCAAUUGAUUCUUGAUUGCAAGGUAAUUAAUUGUUAGUUUGGAUAAUUUUUAGUCCGUAAUUGCUGGAAUUAUUCAAACAUAAGAACACUUGGUGUAACAACUAAGGAAUUGUAUGAUCUAGCAACAUCUCUUGCGUUUGAGUAGCUAGGAUUGGAUCUCUCUCUUUCUUCAUGCAAUUAACAAUUGUUUAAUGCCUAAGUCCCAAGGACGUUCCUUGGCAAUUUGUUAAUUAGUAAGUAAUUAGAGGACGUUCCCUAAUUGGUUUAAUCAUAAGGAGAGAUAUGGUGGUGAGAAGCGUCUUCCAUCUCCAUAACUAAUCUAUUGAAUCAAUCAAAAGAAACUAAGUGUCAAUGAUCAAUCCCAACAACUGAAGUGGAUCCAAUUCUUCAACUAGAGCUUUCUUAUUAUUUAUUUCUCUUUUAUUUUAUUAUUCGCUUAUUUUAAUUGCUUUCAGUAGUUUGUUAAUUAAAUCAAUCUCAAACCCCCCAUUUUACUUUUACUGCAAUAUAUUUUCAUUCCGCUUUCAGUUUAUCUCGUUUUCAGUUUUAUCUCGUUUCAGUUUAUUUCGCUUUCAGUUUAUUUUGCUUUCCAUUUAUUUCUCUUUCAGUUUAACUCGCUUUCAUUUUUAUCUCGUUUCAGUUUAUUCCGCUUUUAGUUUUAUCUCGUUUCAGUUUAUUUUGCUUUCAGUUUAUUUCUCUUUCAGUUUAUUUUUGUUUCAGUUAAUUCUCUUGGUCUUGGUAAGAAAAAUAGGUAAGUAUUCAAUUCCCUGUGGAUUCGAUCCUUUCACCAUUAUCUGCAGUUGUAAAUUGUUGAUAACCGGAAAGGUUAUUUUUGACCGGCUUCGACAACCGCGAGUCAAAAAUUGGCGCCGUUGCCGGGGAAUUGAUUUAACUAAUCUGUUUUUCUUUCAUGACCAGAUCUGAACUCAAGAAAUUGAUUCAUGGAUGAGGUAAGUACAUAUGCUAUUUCCUUUCAGCUUUCUGAACUGACCUCUCUUGUGAAUAGAUAUGUCAUAGGUCGUGCUCAACAAUUUCAGCCACCAAGGCCAUGUAGGAUCUGUGUACAUAUAGGACAUCCAACUGAUCAAUGUUCUACACUUUAUGAGGAUUACCAACCAGUGCAUACAUUUGGAGGAUUUUAUGAACAGCCAAGACAUGAUCCAUACUAUAAUACAUACAAUCCAGGUUGGGGAGCCUAUCCAGACUUCAGUUAUGCAGAGGCUAAUAACUACCAGAAUUAUCAAGGAUAUCAAGCCCAACCAGAACCUCCAAGUUCCAACCAGCACCUUGAGAAGAUGAUAGAGACAUUGGCAAUUUCUACGCAAUGCCUUCAACAGCAGAUAGAUCAAUUGGCCACCUCAAUGAAUGCAAGAAAGGAAGAGCUUCGAGAUGAUGAGACAGAUGAUAAAAGCCCACAAGUACAAGAACAAGCUGCUGAAGAAACACAACCAGAAAACUGUUUGUCCAAACAAACUGGUCAAACAGAACCUGUUGAUAGUUUAGAUAUCAUUGAUUGUUUGAGCAAAGAUGUUUUUUAUAUAAAUCAAGAUGAUAUUCUAAACAAUGAUUUUUGCAGGGAAGAAAACCAGAAAGAGCCAGAAUUGAAAGAAACUGACUGUUGCAUCCAACAGGUGAACUGCAGCCAAGCACAGACUGAAGAGAGCUCUGUCGCACCUCUUCAGGAGAAUUCACAGAUGAGCUUUGCGUAACCUGAAGCCACCUCCAUCGCAUCCUUUCAGCUUCAAACGCAGUCAAGCUCCUCCAUUCCUCCUUUUCAGUCAAGCCUUGCGCAGAAGGAGCAAACUGAAACCAUUUCAGCCAUAGAUCCAACCCAUGCUCACAAGGAACAAAUGGUAUUCCAAGCACCUAAACUAAAGGACCAUGCGGAUCAAUGCCUUCCCAAACCUCCGGAUAAGGUAGAGUUUGUUUUGCCUGAAUUCAGCACUAAAUUGCAGCUAACCAUAGAAAAACAUGAAUUGGAGUUCAAAGUGCUUCCCAAUCAUCUAAAAAAUGCAAACAUAAGGGCUAGAGGCACACCUCAUCUGAAAGAGGAGAAGCUAAUCAUGUUACUUCAUGAGUACAUUGAAAAAAUAGGAUGGGCUAUGACCAAAUCAAAAGGAGUGCUACACUUUCUACUCAAUGCAAUUGGGACCCUUUUCCCUUCCCCAAUUACUUGAGCCUUGAUCAAGUGGAUCGCACCAUGCACACCACACCUAGGGGAGUACUCAGUUUCUUUUGCAUUUUAAUAUUUUCUAUACAUUGAGGACAAUGCAUGAUUUAGGUGUGGGGGUGCAUAUUUCUGACUUUUUAUUUUUAAUUUUUCCUUUAGUUUUCAGUUUGAAUUUUUGUUUUCAUUUUGAGUGUGAUUUUUUUUUCAAUUUUUUUCAUUUUUCCACAGCUUCUCGUUUGUGUUUUGAUUUGCUUUACUCAAACUUAUGAACUAUGUUGGAUGAGCUUUUCUUUCCACGACCCCAUUGAUGUGAUGACUCUUUAAACUUAUGUUGAAUCAAUUGCAGUGAGUUAUAUUCAUGCUUGAGAAUUGCCUUUUGAAUUGAAUCUUUGAGCUUGCCAUGGUGAAAAAUGUAUUGAUGACACUCAUUAGAGAGAAUGAAUUUAAAUUGUGUGAAUGAACUUAACGUGACUUGUUUUAGCAAUUGGUGUUGAUUUGCCCAAAGCAUUGAGAGAAAGAAAAUUCAGCAAAGGCAAAGACCUCAAAAGCAUAAAGUAAAAACUAUUUCAAUGGUCAAAAGACUAUGAACAGAGCUAGUAGCCACUUGGACAGGUGACCAACUGAGUAACUGGGGGUGGGUAUCACCAAUAUGUACCUUCACAUCAAAAGGUUGGUGACUUUUUCAAGCAAAACUUAAAUGCAAAAGGCUGAAUAUGGUACUUCAAGGUAAGGGCAAAUCACUCCGAAAGCUAGAAAAAGUCUUAACUAAACAAAAUAUGUGCAUGUAUAGUCUCUCUCUUGAGUAAAACAAAUCCUAGCCAUGGUAAGUAAAGGGAAACAAGGAAAGAAAGUAAGUAAUCUUCAUGCAUAUAUUUUUCACUGCAAUGAUUCAAAAUAGGGGUCUAGAGUAAGAGUUUAAGUGGAAAUAAGGAUCUAGAGUAAGAAAGCUUGUUUAACUAUGUUUAUUUGCUUGAGGACAAGUAAAAGGCAAGGUGUGGGGGUACUUGAUAGAGCAUAUUUUAGUCCACUUUCUCAUUAUGUUCUUGAUGUUUAUUUGCACCUUUUCUACCUAAUUUUGUGAUUUUAAUCAUGUUUUGCAGAAAUUAGGUGUAAAGAGACAAUCUGGAGAAAAUGCUCUUAAAACUGGCAAAAAGUACCAAAUAUGGAAAGUGCCAAAAAGGAAAAUUUUCAAAUAUAGAAAGUGUUAAAUAAGGAAAGUUUUCUGAUAAGGAAAGUGCCAGAAAAGGAAAGCGCAAUCAACAGAUUCUUUGAAAUUCAAAUUGCAGAUUCUUCUUUCCUUAUUCAGAAGGUGAAGCCAAUUAUGAAAAGUGUCAAAUAAGGAAAGUUUUCAGAAAAGGAAAGUCCUCAAAUAAGGGAAGUGCAGAAGCAAAAGCAAAUAAGGAAAGCUCAGUCAGAAGAAUAUUUGAAAUUCAAAUCGCAGAUCUUUCUUUCCUCAUUCAAAGAUAUGCACACACUGCAGCAGUCAAAUCUUCCUAUUUAGGCAGCGAGAUCUCAUGAAGACGCACUUGCCUCUUUUGCAUUCAACAUUCAAAAUUCAAACGAAGGCUCCACCUAAAAAGGAAAGACUGGACAGAUUCACUUUCCCUUCUGUAUUCAAUGACUGCGCUCCACUUCCUCUUCUGCAUUCCGUUCGCAUCCUUCCUCUUUCGAAGCUUGAUCCGCGUGCCUCCUUCCUUCUAGAGAAUUUGCAAUGCGAUUCUUUCCUUUUCAGCACUUUGGGCAGCCUCUUCACUAAUUAGGAAGCAAGUAUGUCCUAGAGCAGCACUUUCAAUUAUAAAAAGACACAUAAGGAGCCUCCACACAACCUUUAAGCCCCCCUUGGAAGGCACCUAUGAGAUUCACAUCUCUUCUUCUAUAUUUCUUCUUUUCUUUUAUUUUUGGUUUUUGUUUCAGCCAUGAGAGGCUGAAAUCUUUUAUUCUAGUUGAAGAUUAGGUGAUGCUUUAAUUGUUUUAUGGAUUGGGAGACUUGAUCAAACAUGGUUUAUCUUUUGGUUAUUCAAUAUUCAUGCAAUUUCAUACUUAAUUUUCAUAUUACUUUGUUAUUGAGAUCUACGUUGAUUUUUUAUUGCAAAAUAAUUAUUUGUUAGUUUGAAUAAUUUAAGUCCGUAAUUGCUUAGAUUAUUCUUACAUAAGAACACUUGGCAUAGAAAACCAAGAAAGUUGCAUGAUCUAGCGUUAUCUCCAUACGUUUGGGUAGUGACUCACGGUUGUCGAAGCCGGUCAAAAAUAACCUCUACGGUUAUCAACAAUUUUACAAUUGCAGAUGGUGGUAAAGGAUCGAAUCCACAGAGAUUUGAAUACUUAUCUAUUUUUCCUAACAAGACCAAGAGAAUCAACUGAAAGCAUAAUUGGAAGCAAGUAACUGAGAGCAGAAUAAAAGUAAAGUGCAAUAAAGUAAAAAGGGGGUUUUGAGAAUGAUUUGACUAACAACUAUUGAAAGCAAUUAAAACAGCAAGUAACUAAAAUAAAAGAGGAAAUCAAUGUGAGAAAAGUCUAGUUGAAGAUAUGGAUCCACUUUGGUUGUUUGGAUUGAUCAUUGAAACUUAUGUUCCCUUGAUUGGUUCAAUAGAUUAGUUAUGGGUGUGGAAAACGCUUCUCAUCACCAUGUCUCUCCUUAUGAUUAAAUCAAUUAGGGAACAUCCUCUAAUCAAUUACUAAUUAACAAAUUGCCAAGGAACGUCCUUGGGCCUUAGGCAUCAAAACAAUUGUCAAUUGCAUAAGGAAUGAGAGAGAUCCAACCCUUGCUACCCAAACGCAUGAGAUGUUGCUAGAUCAUACAAUUCCUUAGUUUUUACACCAAGUGUUCUUAGGUCAAAAUAUUUCCAGCAAUUACGGACUAACAAAUAUCCCAACUAACAAUCAAUUAACUUUGUGAUUAAGAGUCAAAUGGCCAAUUUGAUCAAAACAACAAAGCAAUCUUAGAAUUAAGCACACAAUUGCAUGAAUAUUGAACAAACCAAAAGCAAACACUUUAUGUUCAGAUCUCACAACCCUUUAAACAACCUUGGUUUCAACCAAACUUCAACUAGAAUUAGGGUUUCAGCCACUCAUGGCUGAACCAAAACAGAAAAUAGAAGAAGAGAAGAAGGAAGGAGGAGCGGCGGCGGCAAAAGUGGAGGAGGAGCGGCGGCCGAAGGUUGGAGGAGAUGGGGUCUUGAAUUCUUGGAAUCUGCCACUUCUUGUCUUCAUAAGGCCUUUAAAUAUGUCUUGGGAGGUUGUCUAGGGUUUCUUAGGUGUCCAUGCAUCUUUUAGAGGUUGCCCAAAGUGCCCUUGGUCUUAUAUGUGUCUUCUAGGUGCAUGUGUGAAGUUGCAAGGACUUUUUGGUCUUUUAAUUGCUGCCCAAGUGUGUCCAAGAAGUUUCCUUCACAUUAUUCUUGCCACUCAUGCACUAAAGAGGAAGGUGGAGCCUCUUUUGAAUUUUGAAUGUGCAUGGCAUGAAGUAGGAAACAUGUGAUCUUCAAGAUUUGGCUUCUUGAAUAAGGAAGAGGCAAGUUGGGAGGAUUUUCGGCCGCCUAAGCUUAUUUUCGGAAGCUGGGCUUUCGGCUCUAGAGCAAACUUUUGGCCACCGAAGAUGCUGCCGAAGAUGGAUGACUUUUGGCUCUGAACGAGACAUUCGACCACCGAAGGUGCUUCCGAAGGUAGUUGAGUUUCGGUUCUGGACGACCCUUUCAGCCGCCGAAGGUGCUUUCGAAGGUGGCUCUUCUAGAUUUGGCAAUUUUUGGCAUUUUUGAGAGCAUUUUCUCUUGAUUGUCUCUUUACACCUAAUAUCUGCAAAACAUGAUUAAAACCACAAAAUUAGGUAGAAAAGGUGUAAAUAAACAUCAAUAAGAUCAUGAUUAUAUGGACUAAAAUAUGCUCUAUCAAAUACCCCCCACACGUAGCCUUUUGCUUGUCCUCAAGCAAAUAAACAUAGUCAAAUAAGCUUUCUUUGCUCUAGAUCCUUAUUUCCACUUAAGCUCUUACUCUAGACACCUAUUUUGAAUCAUUGCAGUAAAGAAUAUAUGCAUGAAGAUUACUUACCUCCUUUCCUUGUUUCCCUUUGCUUACCAUGGCUAGGAUUUGUUUUCCUCAAGAGAGACCAUUCAUGCACAUUAAUUUGUUAAGACUUUUUCUAGCCUUUGGAGUGACUUGCCCUUACCUUGAAGUACUUUAUUCAGGCUUUUGCACUUAGAUUUUCCUUGAAAAAGUCACCAACCUUUUGACGUGAAGGUACAUAUUUGUGAUACCCACCCCCAGUUACUCAGUUGGUCACCUUUCCAAGUGGCUACUAGCCUUGUUCUUAGUCUUUUGACCAUUGGAACAGUUUUUUAUUUUGAGCUUUUGAGGUCUUUGCCUUUGCUGAAUUUUCUUUCUCUCAAUGAUUUGGGUAAAUCAACACCAAUUGCUAAAUCAAGUCAUGUUAAGUUCAUUCACACAAUUUUCAAUUCAUUCUCUCUAAUGAGUGUCAUCAAUAUAUUUUUCACCAUGGCAAACUCAAAGAUUCAAUUCAAAAGGCAAUUCUCAAACAUGAAUACAACUCACUGCAGUUGAUUCAACAUAAGUUUAAAGAGUCAUCACAUCAAUGGGGUCAUGGAAAGAAAGACUCAUUUAACAUAGUUCAUCAGUUUAAGUAGAGCAAAUCAAAAAGAAGAAGAAGGUUGUGGUUGUGUGUGUUUUAUUGAAAGCAAAAACUAAAAAAAUUCAACUGUGGCUAUUCAGAAUGAGUAAAUCGCAAAUGCUGAAAGAAAAGAAAAAAUUUUCGCAGAACUGAAGCUAUGUAAAAUCGCAGAAGGAGAAAGGAAGAAGAAUAGAAGAAGAAGAGGAGGAGAGAAGAGAUAUGCACCCCCACACUUAAAUCAUGCAUUGUCCUCAAUGUAUAAGAAACAUAAAAGAACAAAGGAAACUAAAUACUCCCCUGGGGUGUGGUGCAUGUUGUGAUUUAUUUAGGCUGAGGGAUGUUGUAGUGGAAUUUCUUCCACCACUUGUACUGCGAAUCCUUCAAAGUAUGGCUUCAGACGAUGUCCAUUCACCUUGAAGAUUUUUUUCAGUUUCUAUGCUUCAGAUGUCUACAGCUCCAUGUGGGUAAGCAUGUUCUACUAUGAAUGGUCCAAUCCACCUAGACUGUAGCUUUCCUGGAAACAAUUUCAAACGAGAGUCAAAGAGUAAGACUUUGUCACCAACCUCAAAUUGUUUUCUUGAAAGAUGACUGUCAUGGGAGGCUUUGGUUUUUGUUUUGUAGUUCCAAGAAUUGUCAUAUGCAUCUCGUCUUAUUUCCUCUAGCUCUUGCAGUUGCAGUUUGAUCCUUUCUCUGAUGAUGGGUACUACUUUACUGGUGAUCUCUACUAGCUCAGGCCCUGCUAAGGCCUUUUCUCCAACUUCUUCCCAGCAGACAGGUGACCUGCACUUCCUUCCAUACAAAGUUUUAUAUGGAGUCAUCCCUAUGCUAGCAUGAUAGCUGUUAUUGUAGGCAAACUCCACCAAGGGUAGAUGCUGCCUCCAAGAACCGCCAAAAUCUUGCACACACAUUCUGAGCAUAUCUUCAAUUAUCUGGAUGGUCCUCUCUGACUGUUCGUCAGUCUGUGGAUGGAAGGCAGUGCUAAAGUUCAGCCCGGUACCCAUAGCACUCUGCAGACUUCGCCAAAACCUGGAAGUGAACUGGGGUCCCCUAUCUGACACAAUUGAAACGGGAGCCCCAUGCAACUUGACAACCUCUUCCACAUACACCUGCGCCAAUUUGUCCACAGAAUAGUCACUCCUGAUAGGGAUGAAGUGAGUAGAUUUGGUCAGUCUGUCCAUAAUCACCCAUAUGGAGUCCAAUCUGUUGGACGUUGCUGGUAACCCCACCACAAAAUUCAUAGCUAUAUUCUCUCAUUUUCACUCUGGAAUCGGUAGUGGGUUAAGCAUCCCAGCUGGCUUCUGAUGUUCCAGCUUCACCCUCUGACAUACUUCGCAGGCGGACACGAACUGUGCCACUACUCUUUUCAUAGCUGGCCACCAAUAAACUCUUUUCAGAUCCUGGUACAUUUUGGUGGCUCUAGGGUGAACACUGUAUCUGGCAUUAUGAGCUUCCCUCAUAAUGUCUCCCUUCAGACUCACGUCAUCUGGUACACAUAACCUGUUCCCAUAGCGGAGGAUCCCCUUGCUGUCAAAUUUGAACUCUUCAUUCUUGCCUGACUGAACAGUCCUGGCAAUUUUCACUAACUUUGGGUCCUCAUACUGUUUCUGAGCCACCUGCUACAGAAACACGGGUGCCACUCUCAUCUGAGCUAUCAAAGCACCUGUACCAGACAACUCCAACUGCAGCCCUUCACCAAUGAGCUUAUAGAAUUCCCUCACCACCGGUCUUCUCUCUGCUAUAAUAUGGGAUAGACUGCCAAGUGAUUUCCGGCUUAGGGCAUCUGCCACAACAUUUGCCUUACCCGGAUGGUACUGAAUUUUGCAAUCAUAGUCACUAAGCAGUUCUACCUAUCUCCUCUGCCUCAGAUUCAACUCUCUUUGACUCAAGAUGUACUGCAAGCUCUUAUGAUCUAUGAAGAUCUCACAUUUAACCCCAUACAGGUAAUGCCUCCAUAUCUUGAGUGCGAAGAUCACAGCUGCCACUAGGUCAUGUGUAGGAUAAUUCAACUCAUGCUUCUUCAGCUGCCUAGAAGCAUAAGCAAUUACUCUCUCAUUUUGCAUCAACACACAACCUAGUCCCACAUGGGACGCAUCACAAAACACUGUGAUGUCUUCAUUACUAGUAGGCAGAGCUAACACUGGUGCUGACAUUAACCUUUUCUUCAGCUCUUCAAAGCUUUCCUCACAUUGAUCAGACCACACAAACCUCUGAUUCUUCUUGGUCAAUCUGGUCAUAGGAGUGGCAAUUUUGGAGAAGUCCUGUAUGAACCUCCUGUAGUAACCUGCCAAACCUAAAAAGCUUUUAAUCUCUGUAACUGUAGUGGGUCUGGGCCAGUUAGCUACAACUUCUACCUUCUUGGGGUCCACUUCAAUACCUUUUUCUGACACAACAUGUCCCAAGAAAGAUAUGCUCCUUAACCAGAAUUAACAUUGGGAGAACUUGGCAUACAAGCCGUGCUCCCUCAGGGUCUGCAAAACUAUCCUCAGAUGAUGGGCAUGCUCCUCUGCGUUUCUGGAAUACACUAAAAUAUCGUCAAUGAAAACGAUAACAAAGUGAUCCAGAUACUGACUGAAAACUCUAUUCAUGAGAUCCAUGAAUGCUGCAGGGGCAUUGGUCAGCCCAAACGGCAUCACUAGGAACUCAUAAUGCCCAUAUCUGGUCCUGAAUGCCGUCUUCGGCACAUCUUCCUCUCUGAUUCUCAGCUGGUGGUACCCAAAUCUCAGAUCUAUCUUGGAGAAACAACUUGCUCCAGCUAGCUAGUCAAAUAGAUCAUCGAUCCUAGGUAACGGAUACUUUUUCUUGGUAGUGACUUUUUUCAACUACCUAUAGUCGAUACAAAGUCUUAAGGAUCCAUCCUUCUUCUUUACAAACAGCACUGGAGCAUCCCAAGGUGAGGUACUCGGUUGGAUGAAACCCUUGUCUACCAACUCUUGCAACUGCUCCUUUAGCUCCUUCAACUCUGCUAGUGCCAUCCUGUAGGGAGGGAUAGAGAUUGGUCUGGUUCCAGGCAUCAAUUCUAUUUCGAACUCUAUUUCCCUAGCAGGUGGUAGUCCUGAAAGCUCGUCUAGGAAGACAUCUGGAAACUCUCUGACCACGGGCACUGAGGCGGGUUCCCUAACCUGACUAUCCAACUCUCUCACAUGAGCUAGAAACCCCUGACAACCUCUCCUGAGCAACCUACAAGCCUGUAGGGCUGAUAUCAGACCUCUAGGCAUACCCCUCCUGUCUCCUCCGAAGACAACCUCUGAUCCAUCCUGAUCUCUGAACCUGACUACCUUGUCUAUGCAAUCCAAGGUAGCACCAUGAGUAGAUAGCCAAUCCAUCCCUAGAAUGACAUCAAAAUCUGUCAAGUCUAGAACCACAAGGUCGGCUGUAAGGCAUCUACCCUCAACAAAAAAUGGACUGAACCGGCAGACUGACUCUGCCACUGAUGGGUCACACUUGGGUCCACUGACCCAGAGGGGACACUCUAACCCAGAGACUAUCAAACACAACCUCUCUACGGAUCUCGGAGCAACAAAAGAAUUAGAUGCACCAGGGUCCAUUAAAGCAUACACAUCUGAACAACCAAUGAUGAGAUUACCUGACACCAUGGUGUUGGAUGUGUUUGCCUCCUGUUGUGUCAUAGUGAAGAUCCGAGCUGGAGUUGAUGGACCUUCACCCCGGGAACCUAUUAAAGAAGAGGCUGUCCCUCUCCUUCUGCCUCAGCCACUGCCCUAAGUCAAGGCUGGAGCUACUGGCUGAGCCACACUACCAGAAGCCGUCUGCUGGGACGAUGCCAUAAAAGCUGCCCUAGGACACUCCCGAGCCAUAUGUCCCUCCUGGCCGCACCUGAAGCAGGCCGUUGUCCCAAAUCGACAUACUCCCUUGUGUGGCUUACCACACCUCAAGCAUUCUGAACCAUCUGAACCUGAGCUCGAGCCACCACCAAAACCCAAACCUGACUUCAAACGGUUCCAGAACUUAUUCUUCUUGGGCUUGGCUCUGCCCCACUUUUUACUGCCUGAAGUUGCUGCACUCAAAGAAGAGGGAUCUAACUUUCUCCCGCCUGGGGUCUUGGAACCCGAGGACUGUGCCACUGUCUGCUUAACUGUCCCCUGAAUAAUGGCACUAGCCUCCAUCUUUCGUGCUGCAUUCACUAUGGUGUGGAAGUCCUCUCUCUCAGCUGCUAAAAUUAGGGAGGAAUACCUAGGGUGGAGCCUCAUGGUAUACCUUCUGGCCUUUUUCUGAUCUGUGUCAUAUGCCUGGCCCACAUAUUGCAGCAAGUCCAGAAACCUGUCUGUGUAUUCAUCUACACUCAUAUCCUCAGUCUGCCUUAGCUGCUCAAACUCUACAACUUUCAGCUUUCUGGAACUAUCAGGAAAAGCCCAUCCUGCAAACUCAUUAGCAAACUGCUCCCAGGAUAAGCUCUCCAACCUCGGGUCCACAUAGUUUUUAAACCAUUCUCUUGCUUUCUUGCAUUUCAGCAUGAACCCCGCCAUCUGAAUGGCUCUACUAUCAUUUGCCCCCAACUCAUCUGUAAUCAUCUUUACCAUUUUGAGAUACUCAAACGGAUCAUCUCCCAUCUUGAACUUGGGAGCAUCCAGCUUCAAGUAAUCGGUCAUCUUUACCUUGCUCCCCACAGAUGAGCUAGGCUUGGGUGUUUGGAUUCCAGGGGCUACUGGUUCUGCUGGUGGAGGAGGGGGUGCAGCAUUCCCUGGGUUAGGGUUUGCUGUACUUGGGUAGAAGGGUGAGGGUGGAUACAUAGGGUAUUGGGGAUAUGGUGGGUAAAAAGGAGGGUAGGGCAUAUAGGAGGGAUAUGGGUUGAAACUGGAGUAAUCCGAUGUACCCCCCAUCGGAUACCCUGGGCCCUGAGGAAAGGGUUGAUACUGGGGUGGAUAACCAAACCCCGAGGCCUGAGCACCUCCUUGAGAUUCUCCCAUGCCCUCUUUCGACAUGCUCAUGCCCAAGCUACCAUCUCUUCUCUGCUCAUCCUCCCUUGAUCCCCUUACAUCAGCUGACAUACCACCCUGAACGGUUCUCCUUCUGCUCACAUCAAAAGACCUUCUAAGGUCCCUUGAUGUUCCCUCUCUACUUGAUCUACAAGACAUUGCCCUUGGCAAAGCAGGGGGACAGGCAUCCAUGCCCUCAUUCUCUGGUGGGACUCCAGUCAAUCAUGCAGAUCAAUGAGUGCCUCGCAUUAUGUUUUCUGAGAAACAACAGAAAACACAAAAACAUUAACAUCAUAUGGUUCAUGUGAAAACACAUGAACCCACAUCACAUACAUAGCAUAUCGUUAAUGCACAUGCAUAUAGUCAUGGCAUUUCACAUCAUUAUCAAGACAGGACUCUAUAUCCUAUCCUGGUGGACAUGAUUUUUCCUAUUGUGCUUGCCCUUCUAUGAUAUCUAUGAGCCCGACACUCUAGGUCCGACCAUAUGAACCUAGGGCUCUGAUACCACUCUGUAAAGACUCGAAAACCGGACUGCUACCGGCGCUAGGGUCCAGAUCGACUUAAGGUCGCUGGGACCCGUAGCAAGCCAAACAUACAACCUGUCAUGCCUGAUAAAUCCCAUACAUGAUCAUACAUUUACAUAAAAAUUUUAAACUUUUCACACACCAAGCUUGACCUGUGCAUGCACCAUAACUAUAAACAUAAAACCCCACACUAGAGCCCUCAUCAAAUGCUCUAGUGGGGCAUCAUAUCAUAUGUCAAGUCUGGUUCAACAUAACUCAUCAUUAAACAUUUAUUAAAGAUCAUGUACAAAAAGGGAUUACUAUACAUUAGGGCCAAGCACAAUACUAAUCCUCAAUACAUAACCGUACAAUACCUUACAUUACAUUACAUUAAUUUACAUAUCAUGUCCACUGCUAAUCUAUUACAAUAACACAGCUUUUACCCUUGACAACUUCCCGAUCUAUCCUAAACCUUCAACCCUGGGGGUUAGGGAAAGAGGUGAGCUACUAAAGCCCAGUGAGCAGAACAAUAAAACAAUUUAAAUAUCACAUGCUUUUAUGAAAUGCAUCACAACACAAGUAAAUCACCUUAAGGUGGUAUUGUCACCAAUAGCCCUCUACAUAUCCAAUAAAUGCCCGGCCCUCGAUGGAGCUCCUCAGGACUUCCUCUUAAACAUAACAUAACAUGUCCAACUGUGCCAGGGGCGUAGAAUGGGCAACCCUGGUCUUUCCCUUACUUUGUACCAGGGGCGUAGAAUGGGCAACCCUGGACUUUCCGUACCAUAUCAUAUCGAGGGCUAAUGGAUCAUCCAAUGACCAUCCACAUCAACAUCAUAUUAUGCAAUGCAUCAUAUUCAUGAAUUCUAAUGCAACAACUUGGCAAUCGUGAUGCAUGAACAUGUUUAGGAGUUUAAUUACUUUUAAAAUAGAAAGUAGUUGAUAGAACAUAUUUUAGUCCAUUUUAUCUUGAUAUUAUGGAUGAUUAUUUACAUGAUUUCUGUUUAAUUUAGUGCUCUUGAUAUUAUUUUGCAGAAAAUGGUGAAAAAGGACUUUUUGGAGAAAAUACCCUUAAAACUGCCUUAAAUGGAGCAAAGGAGAGCAAGCCUGCCAAGUUGGAAUCAAGUGAAGCUAAAUAAGGAAAGUUCUAAAUAAGGAAAGUGGCAAAGAAGGAAAGAACAUUCAGCCAAAGCAAUUUGAAAUUCAAAUUUCAAAUCUCCACGUAGCCUUUUCCUUAUUCAAGAAGCCAAGUCUCAAGUUGCCAUAAAUGAAGAGCCAAAUAAGAAAAGUAUUUUGAAAUUCAAAUCUUCAAGAUUCAUAUUCAAAUUUUGAAUUUCAAAAUCCAGCUUAUUAAGGAAGCUAAAUUCAAAGAUCACAUGCUUGCCACCUCAUGCCUUGCACAUUCAAAAUUCAAAUUGCAAAGGAGGCUCCACCUUCCUUAUUAGUGCAUGGGCGGCAAGGAGAGUGUGANNNNNNNNNNNNNNNNNNNNNNNNNNNNNNNNNNNNNNNNNNNNNNNNNNNNNNNNNNNNNNNNNNNNNNNNNNNNNNNNNNNNNNNNNNNNNNNNNNNNNNNNNNNNNNNNNNNNNNNNNNNNNNNNNNNNNNNNNNNNNNNNNNNNNNNNNNNNNNNNNNNNNNNNNNNNNNNNNNNNNNNNNNNNNNNNNNNNNNNNNNNNNNNNNNNNNNNNNNNNNNNNNNNNNNNNNNNNNNNNNNNNNNNNNNNNNNNNNNNNNNNNNNNNNNNNNNNNNNNNNNNNNNNNNNNNNNNNNNNNNNNNNNNNNNNNNNNNNNNNNNNNNNNNNNNNNNNNNNNNNNNNNNNNNNNNNNNNNNNNNNNNNNNNNNNNNNNNNNNNNNNNNNNNNNNNNNNNNNNNNNNNNNNNNNNNNNNNNNNNNNNNNNNNNNNNNNNNNNNNNNNNNNNNNNNNNNNNNNNNNNNNNNNNNNNNNNNNNNNNNNNNNNNNNNNNNNNNNNNNNNNNNNNNNNNNNNNNNNNNNNNNNNNNNNNNNNNNNNNNNNNNNNNNNNNNNNNNNNNNNNNNNNNNNNNNNNNNNNNNNNNNNNNNNNNNNNNNNNNNNNNNNNNNNNNNNNNNNNNNNNNNNNNNNNNNNNNNNNNNNNNNNNNNNNNNNNNNNNNNNNNNNNNNNNNNNNNNNNNNNNNNNNNNNNNNNNNNNNNNNNNNNNUCUCUUUCUUCAUGCAAUUAACAAUUGUUUGAUGCCUAAGGCCCAAGGACGUUCCUUGGCAAUUUGUUAAUUAGUAAUUAAUUAGAGGACGUUCCCUAAUUGGUUUAAUCAUAAGGAGAGACAUGGUGGUGAGAAGCGUCUUCCAUCUCCAUAACUAAUCUAUUGAAUCAAUUAAAAGAAACUAAAUGUCAAUGAUCAAUCCCAACAACUGAAGUAGAUCCAAUUCUUCAACUAGAGCUUUUUUAUUAUUUAUUUCUCUUUUAUUUUAUUAUUCACUUAUUUUAAUUGCUUUCAGUAGUUUGUUAAUCAAAUCAAUCUCAAACCCCCUAUUUUACUUUUACUGCAAUUUAUUUUUAUUCCGCUUUCAGUUUAUCUCGUUUUCAGUUUUAUCUCGUUUCAGUUUGUUUUGCUUUCAAUUUAUUUUGCUUUCAGUUUGUUUUGCUUUCAGUUUAUUUUGCUUUCAGUUUAUUUCACUUUCAGUUUAUUUGGCUUUUCGUUCAUCUCAUUUCAAUUUAUUUCUCUUUCAGUUAUUUUUAUUUCAGUUUAUUCUCUUGGUCUUGAUAAGGAAAAUAGGUAAGUUUUCAAUUCCCUGUGGAUUCGAUCCUUUCACCGCUAUCUGCAGUUAUAAAUUGUUGAUAAUUGGAAAGGUUAUUUUUGACCGGCUUCGACAACCGCGGUCAAAAAUUGGCGCCGUUGCCGGGGAGUUGAUUUAACUUAUUUGUUUUUUUUCAGGACCAGAUCUGUCACCCAAAGAACACCUCAUCGCAGAUCUGAACAUAAAAAAAAAAAGAGGAAGUGAAGACCACUUUCGCGCAGGAGCACCUUCUGCAACACAUUCGGCCGCCGAACCUCAUCCUCAUUCGGCCGUCGAACAUCUCGCCAAAGGCAUAGUCACCAUCACAGAUCUGAAUCAUGGAUGAGGUAAGUACACCUGCCACUUCUUCUCAGCUUUCUGAACUGACAUCUUUUAUGAAAGAUUUUGCCAUAGGACUAGUUCAACAGGUUCAAGCAUUUCAGCCACCAAGGCCAUAUGGGACCUAUGCAUAUGUAGGACACCCAACUGAUCAAUGUCAUAUGCUUUAUGGGAAUAGUCAGCCUAGACAUACAUUUGGAGGAUUCAAUGACCAACCAGUUCCUGCAUAUGAAGGAUUCAAUAGCCAGCCUAGACAUGAUCCAUACUAUAACACAUACAAUCCAGGCUGGAGAGACUAUUCAGACUUCAGUUAUGCAUGGGAUAACAACUACCAGAAUUAUCAAGGAUAUCAAACCCAACCAGAACCUCCAAAUUCCAUCCAGCACCUUGAAAAGAUGAUGGAAACAAUGGUAAGUUCCAUGCAAAGCAUGCGACAGGACAUAGGACAAUUGGCCACCUCAAUGAAAGCAAACAUGUUAAGAAGAGAGCAAGAGCUUCAAGAUGUCGAGGAUGAUGAUGAAAGUUGGCAAGUACAAGAACAAGCUGUUGAAGAAACACAACCAGAAAACUGUUUGUCCAAACAAACUGGUCAAACAGAACCUGUUGAUAGUUUAGAUAUCAUUGAUUGUUUGAGUAAAGAAGUUUUUUUAUGUAAAUUAAGAUGAUAUACUAAAUGAUGAUCUUUGUAGGCAAGAGAGCCGGAAAGAGCCAGAAUUGAAAGAAACUAUUUGUUGCAUCCAACAGGUGGAUUGCAGCCAUGCACAGAAUGAACAGAAGCAGAUCGCACCACUUUAGCUUGGUGCGCAGAUCAACCUUGCACAGUCAGAGAGCAUUCCAGGCAUGGCUCUUCAGCUUGAACCGCAGGACAGUCAUCCUUUUCAGGUAAGUCUUGUGCAGUAGGAGGCAACUGAAACCAAUUCAGCCAUAGAUCCAAUACAAACAGCCCAUGCUCACAAAUAAUAAAUGGUAUUCCAAGCACCUAAACCAAAGGACCAUGCAGAUCAAUGCCUUCCCAAACCUCCGGUUAAGGUAGAGUUUGUUUUGCCUGAAUUCAGUACUAAAUUUCAGCUAGCCAUAGAGAAACAUGAAUUGGAGUUCAAAAUGCUGCCCAAUCAUCUCAAAAAUGCAAACAUAAGGGCUAGAGGCACACCUCAUCUGAAAGAGGAGAAGCUAAUCAUGUUACUUCAUGAGUACAUGAAAGAAAUAGGAUGGGCUAUGACCAAAUCAAAAGGAGUGCUACACUUUUUGCUCAAUGCAGUUGGGACGCUUUUCCCUUCCCCAAUUACUUGAGCCUUGAUCAAGAGGAUCGCACCAUGCACACCACACCCAGGGGAGUACUCAGUUUCUUUUGCUUUUUUAAUGUUUCUUAUACAUUGAGGACAAUGCAUGAAUUAGGUGUGGGGGUGCAUAUCUCUGAAUUUCCCUUUUAGCUUUUUGCGAUCUUUCUUCUUCUUUUUCUUUCAGUUUUUGCGCAAUUUUUUUUCUUUUUUUCCUUUCAAUUUGCGAUUUUUUUCCUUUCAGCUUUUCUUUUAGUCUUUGCUUUCAAUAACACACAUAACCACAGUCUUCUUCUUUUUGUUUUGCUCUACUCAACUGAUGAACUAUGUUAGAUGAGCUUUUCUUUCCAUGACCCCAUUGAUGUGAUGACUCUUUAAACUUAUGUUGAAUCAAUUGCAGUGAGUUAUAUUCAUGUUUGAGAAUUGCCUUUUGAAUUGAAUCUUUGAGUUUGCCAUGGUGAAAAAUAUAUUGAUGACACUCAUUAGAGAGAAUAAAUUGAAAAUUGUGUGAAUGAACUUAACAUGACUUGUUUUAGUAAUUGGUGUUGAUUUGCCCAAAUCAUUGAGAGAAAGAAAAUUCAGCAAAGGCAAAGACCUCAUGAGCACAAAUUCAAAACUGUUCCAAUGGUUCAAAGACUAUAAACAGAGCUAGUAGCCACUUGGACAGGUGACCAACUGAGUAACUGGGGGUGGGUAUCACCAAUAUGUACCUUCAUGUCAAAAGGUUGGUGACUUUUUCAAGCAAGAUCUAAGUGCAAAAGACUGAAUAAAGUACUUCAAGGUAAGGGCAAGUCAAUCCGAAAGCUAAAAAGAGUCUUAUCUAAAUAAAUAAUAUGUGCAUGAAUGAUCUCUCUCUUGAGUAAAACAAAUCCUAACCAUGGUAAGUAAAGGGAAACAAGGAAAGAAGGUGAGUAAUCUUCAUGCAUAUAUUCUUCACUACAAUGAUUCAAAAUAGGUGUCUUGAGUAAGAGCUUAAGUGGAAAUAAGGAUCAAGUAGCAAAGAAAGCUUAUUUGACUAUGUUUAUUUGCUUGAGGACAAGCAAAAGGCUAGGUGUGGGGGUAUUUGAUAGAACAUAUUUUAGUCCAUUUUAUCUUGAUAUUAUGGAUGAUUAUUUACAUGAUUUCUACUUAAUUUAGUGCUCUUGACAUUAUUUUGCAGAAAAUGGUGAAAAAGGACAUUUUGGAGAAAAUACCCUUAAAACUGCCUUAAAUGGAGCAAAGGAGAGCAAGCCUAUCAAGUUGGAAUCAAGUGAAGCUAAAUAAGGAAAUUUCUAAAUAAGGAAAGUGGCAAAGAAGGAAAUAACAUUCAUCCAAAGCAAUUUGAAAUUCAAAUUUCAAAUCUCCAAGUAGCCUUUUCCUUAUUCAAGAAGCCAAGUCUCAAGUUGCCAUAAAUGAAGAGCCAAAUAAGGAAAGUAUUUUGAAAUUCAAAUCUUCAAGAUUCAUAUUUAAAUUUUGAAUUUCAAAAUCCAGCUUAUUAAGGAAGCUAAAUCCAAAGAUCACAUGCUUGCCACCUCAUGCCUUGCACAUUCAAAAUUCAAAUUGCAAAGGAGGCUCCACCUUCCUUAUUAGUGCAUGGGCGGCAAGGAGAGUGUGAAGGAAAGUCUUGGGCACCUUGGGCAGCAUCUUGAAGACACUUGGGCAGCAACCAAAGACCAAAAGUCCCACUCCUUGCACUUGAACACAUGCCCCACGUUUUUCCCUUCUCACAUGUGCAUGGAUGGCACAUCUUUGACCAAGGGCAUUUUGGGCAGCCUUUUGAAGUCCUUUGGGCAGCCUCUUGACACCUUGGGCAGCCUCUUCACUAAUUAGGAAGCAAGUAUCAUCUAGGGCAACACUUUUCAAGUAUAAAAAGACACAUAAGGAGCCUCCCCAUGCUCUUUCAAAGCCCCCAUUGGAGGCACCUACGGGAUUGCAAGUGACACCAUCUCUUCUUCUUCUUUUCUUUAUUUUUGGUUUUUGUUUCAGCCAUGAGUGGCUGAAACCUUUUUUUCUAGUUGAAGAUUGGUUGAAACUUUGGUUGUUUUAUGGAUUGUGAGAUUUGAAAUUAAGUUGUUUAUCUUUUGGUUAUUCAAUAUUCAUGCAAUCUCAUGCUUAAUUCCAUUGUUGCUUUGUUGUUUUGAUCAAUAUGGCCAAUUGAUUCUUGAUUGCAAGGUAAUUAAUUGUUAGUUUGGAUAAUUUUUAGUCCGUAAUUGCUGGAAUUAUUCAAACAUAAGAACACUUGGUGUAACAACUAAGGAAUUGUAUGAUCUAGCAACAUCUCAUGCGUUUGAGUAGCUAGGAUUGGAUCUCUCUCUUUCUUCAUGCAAUUAACAAUUGUUUGAUGCCUAAGGCCCAAGGACGUUCCUUGACAAUUUGUUAAUUAGUAAUUAAUUAGAGAACGUUCCCUAAUUGGUUUAAUCAUAAGGAGAGACAUGGUGGUGAGAAGCGUCUUCCAUCUCCAUAACUAAUCUAUUGAAUCAAUCAAAAGAAACUAAAUGUCAAUGAUCAAUCCCAACAGCUGAAGUGGAUCCAAUUCUUAAACUAGAGCUUUCUUAUUAUUUAUUUCUCUUUUAUUUUAUUAUUCGCUUAUUUUAAUUGCUUUCAGUAGUUUGUUAAUCAAAUCAAUCUCAAACCCCCUAUUUUACUUUUACUGCAAUUUAUUUUUAUUCCACUUUCAGUUUAUCUCGUUUUCAGUUUUAUCUCAUUUCAGUUUGUUUUGCUUUCAGUUCAUUUUGCUUUCAAUUUAUUUUGCUUUCAGUUUAUUUCGCUUUCAGUUUAUUUGGCUUUCCGUUCAUAUCGUUUCAGUUUAUUUCUCUUUCAGUUAUUUUUAUUUCAGUUUAUUCUCUUGGUCUUGAUAAGGAAAAUAGGAUGUGGAUUCGAUCCUUUCACCACUAUCUGCAGUUGUAAAUUGUUGAUAACUAGAAAGAUUAUUUUUGACCAGCUUCGACAACUGCGAGUCAGUAGUUCUGUUCUACUAACCUCUAGCAGAUACUGGACUGACUCUGAAGCAGCUAUCUCACUGCUGAACUCCUUGGUUCCUCGGGUCCGAUCCUACACAGGUGGACUCAAAUGAGGGACCAAACAUACUCUAAC
Molecule: long non-coding RNA, 22358 nt
Filed under: Manihot esculenta (cassava)
Lineage: Eukaryota; Viridiplantae; Streptophyta; Magnoliopsida; Malpighiales; Euphorbiaceae
Description: long non-coding RNA (MESC_LNC002847)
Source: RNAcentral